AUCGCUUCUCGGCCUUUUGGCUAAGAUCAAGUGUAGUGUUGCCCAUCACAUUCAAAGAGCUUUAUAAAUCUAGUUUUUUUUUUUUAACCAUGGGGUAGAGGUGUGGUAUAGAUGCUAAUGAUUAAUUUUGUUUUAAAAUGUGCAGUUUUACAUGUUUAAGAAGUGAAAUCUUAAU
RNAcentral lists this small nuclear RNA (175 nucleotides) under Heterocephalus glaber (naked mole-rat). RNAcentral's name for it is "U2 spliceosomal RNA (ENSHGLG00100051308.1)". It matches the Rfam family "U2 spliceosomal RNA". From Rfam's summary of the family: U2 is a small nuclear RNA (snRNA) component of the spliceosome (involved in pre-mRNA splicing). Complementary binding between U2 snRNA (in an area lying towards the 5' end but 3' to hairpin I) and the branchpoint sequence (BPS) of the intron results the bulging out of an unpaired adenosine, on the BPS, which initiates a nucleophilic attack at the intronic 5' splice site, thus starting the first of two transesterification reactions that mediate splicing. The record is from RNAcentral. Lineage: Eukaryota; Metazoa; Chordata; Mammalia; Rodentia; Bathyergidae.